GAAAGUGCCUCCAGCGACGAUAUAAGGAAAGGAAGGCAGUGAAGAUUGACGCGGAGAAGAAGAGAGAGAGAAAGAGAGAGAGAAGCGGAGAAAGGAAAGAGAAGCGUGGAAACCACGAUAACAAGGGAACGCCGACGCUACGGACCGAUACGUCUUCCGGAUCGUCAUUCCACAUCACCGGCGCAAAAAAUCUAGAAAGAGGCAACAGACAAUAGGGAAGAAGAGCAUGCGGCGUUUCGGUGAGAACAACAUCGCGGGACCCUCGAGUAGGUUUUUGUGUGUGUGUGUGUUUAUUACUAUUUCCUUUCCUUCUCGACGGGCGCCGAUCUCUUUUUCAGCCCCGACAGCGGCACACAGCACGGCGAAACGUAGGGCUCGUUUUUUUUUUUUACGAGGCCGAACUCGUUCCCCGUCCGGCACCGACGGCAGCUGCGCGCACACGACGGUUCCGCACAGGUGGUCACGUGGAGAGGAGGAAGGCGCCGGCCCGCACCGCUCCGCACACCGCUGUUCGCUAUGCAGCUCGCUCGAUCACGCACGCGGCCCGACCAAGCUACGGUUUUCUUUUCUAUCUUUUUUGUUGUUGUUUCUUUUCGUUUCCAUCUCACCUGCUGUUCAAAUCUCGAUGUACCGCGCCCCCACAGAGCUUCCUCCAAAAAAAAUUUUACUGGAGGUGAACUCUACCCGUCGCGGUAUAGCGCAGUGGCUAUGCGUCGUUACUGUGCUCAGCUUCGAGGUCGCGAGAUUUGGCAUCCCGCUCGCGACGAGCGCAUUGCGAUGCGGGAAAAAAAAGAAAGGAUAACGCUCGUGUACUCAGUUAGAUACAGGUACACGUUAAAGAACGUUAGGUGGUAAAAAUUCACCCGCUUGUCCCCCACUGCGGCAUGCACCGCAUAAUCAUGUCCUGGUUUUAGCAUGUAAAACUGCACAAUUUAAUAAUUUUGGGGGAGGGGGGGGGGAAUCUCUGCCGCGCAGAUCGUUAAGCUACCAUGGGCGACGGGCAGUUAGCGUGGAUUUGUCGAAUCUGCGUGCUUGUGGUGCCUUACGUUCUUGUGACUAAAUUUCCACACGAAACCGUACUUUCGUCUAAACGUCUGAAUGCAAGAAUAUAUUCUUCGCGGAUUGACAAUCAUCGCGAAUCAUUGCGCUUAUAACGGUCUAUUUUUGUUUGAAUGUGAUCAAUUUCGCAAAAUCAAAAUAAGCCGCUGGAAGCCACCAGGACGAAGUUUAGGGCACAUGCUUGCACUAUGCACUAUAUGGAGCUUCGCAUACGAAGCUUCCGUAGCGAAAGACACUUGCCUCGAUUUCACUUCACCUCACCCACUUCUAAAAAAAAAAAAAAAAGGCCUACAUAAAUUGUUUAAACGGGUCGAACUCUCUCUAAUACAAAUCGAUCCCUUGGGGCUACCGUAUAGACAUUAUAUAGACCCUUUCACUGUUUACAAACAUAGGCCCCGGACGGUUUCCCGUUUUGCUCAUCCACAUAGCCCGCUAAAUUUAGCGACCAAGAAUAGCAUUGGGCUUCGAUAUUGACUAGCAAGAGUGCAUUAAAAUCUAAGCCCACAUAUUUUCAACACUUUUCCUCUGUACAUAACAACAAUUUUACAAGUGAAUGUCGCGCUAAGUUGUACGAAAAUUUUUAUGUAUUCGUGUUGAGGCGUAAUGCACGUGUCUUUUAUCCGAAAACUUAAACAUUGACUCUCCGCCAGUAAAACAAGUUAAAACGUUCUCCGUGUUCCGGUGCAGCAGUAGACUGAUAAGGCCCGUGACCGGAAGUUUCUUGGAGGCGCACUCUCGCAACAGUUAUCGCGCUAUAGUGAAACCGUCUAUGCGCCCGAGUUCUUUUCUAGCAAUUUCAGUUGGAAACUGCGGCGCCGCACCACCUGCACGCGUUCUGCUGUGUCGUGUAACACGUACACACACUCACUCCGGUGCCGAAUCCUCCUCCCCCUUUCGAAUCGCGCACCGAGGGCGCGGACCACUUGUUCCGCCCCGAGCGCAAGCCGGUUGGCACAGCGCGCGGCGCAAGCUGCUGCUUUCUUUUUUUUUUUUUUAAUGGGAUUUUACGUGCCAAAACCACUUUCUGAUUAUGAGGCACGCCGUAGUGGAGGACUCCGGAAAUUUCGACCACCUGGGGCUCUUUAACGUGCACCUAAAUCCAAGUACAUGGGUGUUUUCGCAUUUCGCCCCCAUCGAAAUGCGGCCGCCGUGGCCGGGAUUCGAUCCCGCGACCUCGCGCUCAGCAGCCAUCACCAUCGCCACUGACAAUCAGGGCGGGUCGGAAGCUGCUGUUGCCGCGCGCACUGUAAAAUAAUUUACGCUUUUAAAGGUGAGAAAAGGUGUAAAUGUGUCAUUAACCCACACCCUUAGGGUGUGAUUUAUGUAACGGACACUCUAAGGGUGCGAGUUAUAGACACAUUUACACCCUUUUUCACAUUUAGGGUGUAAAUUAUUUUACAGUGCGGCCGCGCGGCCGCAGGUUUCCCGAACCGGACGCUGCGCUGCUUGCCUGCCUGCUACGUUUUGCGGAGAUCGUUGAGCCAGGCUUCUGCCUAUACGGGCUGGCAUUGAGACCUGUAGUUCAUUUUUUUUCCUUCUUUUUUUUCUGCGGCUUGGCGUUGUAAAAACGACAACGUGACAUCAAAAACACGGAUGACCGUCAACUGUUCAAAACAGGAAAGGAAAUAAAAAAAAAAAGAAGGUAAUUGAAAGAAAAAGGAAACAAAGAAAAGAAUGUACGUCACCGUAAAGCACGGCAAAUGUAGGAACGGAAAACGAAGCGCAGACGAGGGAAUGUGGAAAACGAAGGACGAAUGAAAAAAAGAAAAUGUAGACGACGGCAUCUUAACAGCCUGUUCCGUUCAGACGUAACGAUGAUCCGGCAACCUCGGGUUGCGUGCGUUAGACGCGAAAAAGAGAGAAUUACAACACGUGCGAUGAAAGGUGCAUGCAUCGCCAAGCAAUGCAAAAAUACAGCGUGUACGCAUCAAAUAUGUCCGACUGCGCGUAUAGUCAGCAAGAUUUAUACAUUCUUUAAUAAACAUUCUGCGUCGCUUCGUGCCUCGGCUUACGCUUCUACACUGCGGCCAGUGCGGAUCUGUCAAAUGUCACUGCCAGGGCGCGCUUGAUGCUCGCCCAUACUCCAACC
Dermacentor andersoni is the source of this 3148-nucleotide long non-coding RNA. RefSeq lists it as uncharacterized. Lineage: Eukaryota; Metazoa; Arthropoda; Arachnida; Ixodida; Ixodidae. The record is from RefSeq and is a predicted model, not a curated record.